UGGAAAUUUCACGGUUGUCCAGU
RNAcentral lists this non-coding RNA (23 nucleotides) under Rattus norvegicus (Norway rat). The record is from RNAcentral. Lineage: Eukaryota; Metazoa; Chordata; Mammalia; Rodentia; Muridae.